Molecule: long non-coding RNA, 1543 nt
Organism: Cyprinus carpio carpio
Lineage: Eukaryota; Metazoa; Chordata; Actinopteri; Cypriniformes; Cyprinidae
Source: Ensembl
GUGAAAAGUGAUGGAGGACAUCAUAAGAGGCACCCUUCCCCAUCUGGAUAGUAAGACUGUGGAGACUAUAGUUAAAGAUUUGCCCUCAUUGGGAGUAAGGGAGAUUAACAAAUUUAUGUACAUGAAAGAGGAUGACAUCAGACAUCUUAUGUCCAUAGUUGAUUGCAGAAAACUACUACAAAGAUUCAACAACAUAGAUAAUGGAGCCCAACAGAACAAUCUGCUAAGGGACUCUGCUGCGUCUGACAUGAUAACACUGACUCUUACACCAAUGUCUUCAUUAGAAGCCUCUUCAAGCACACAGUUUGCACUACCAGCUCAGCACUCUACCCCUGUGCAGCACAGCACCUCGCACCCAACUUUCCAAGUACCUUGGGACAAGACCAGACCAAGUCUAAGAACAUUACUUGAACUGGACUUGGACACUUGGACACUUCACUUUGUGUUCACAAUUUUUGUGUUCAAAUUACAACCUGAACAGGAACAACACCCCCGCACGCCUAAGAAAACCAAAAAGGCCUGCUGUAAUGGUGGAGAAUAGCCAUCCAGCACCAUCCAGAAAAUGUGCAAAACUCUGAAAAAAAUUGAUGAUAAUCACAUAUGAGGCCAAGCAACGUGCCAUCGAUGCAUCACCUGCACCUAGCAUUAACCAACUAAAGACUGAUUGGCCUUUCCUGAAGAGUUCUUUCCUUGUUCAUGAAGAGAUUUCUGAUCCAGAAUUCCAGUACACUUACAGGCAUUGAAUUAGAAGCAAGACUCGGGGAGUCCAUCACUGGAAAGGAAGAAAGGUUCUCCAUUUCUUCAAGUCUCAAUUGCUGCGCUGGAGAAAAGAGGUGAGGACAGUCCUUGCAGACAUAGAAAGAGAAUCUAGAGAUGUGGAUCCUGGCCUUGCUGCCAUUUGGUGAUAAUGGCAUUCUUCAAAGAAAAAGAAGAUUCACUUUUCCUUCUGGCUGAUCGCUGAAUCAUGCAUAACAUCACAUGUGCGGAGAUUCAGACUCCAGUGGGGUUUCUGUAUGUGAUUCUGCCUGUUAUACUGAAUCAAACACUCAAUCCUGACUGUGAGCAGGGCUGGUAUUCAGAGGAUGGAUUUAAGAUAGCAGAUCCAUCAACUCCUCAAACAGUGGUUGAUCCUGUUAUUUCUGUCUCAUCUGAUCGCCUUGUCACUUCUUACUGUGUGAAUCUGAAUCAUCAGAUCAUCUGUGAUUCUGCUGAUGGACUUCAUUACAGUCAUGAGCUCAUGUUCAGAGGUGAGAAAAACAGUAAAACACAUACAUGUGUCCCAGGGACGGAUUAUGACUUGCAAGGGCCCUGGGGCCAAUUAUCUCCAAGGCCCCCCACCCCACCAUACAAGUUUUUUUCUCCCCACGUUCUUUCUCUUAGCUGCGCAUUCGCAGUAAUAAAAAGAGAAAGUUACGAUCAUGAAUAUUCAAAGCGUUAUCACUCCACGUCAAAUGCCUGCGCUAAGAAAAGCACUUUGUACAGGGUUUACAGAAUCAAUGUAGGACUAAUACACUUUUGUGAGUCUAAUACCUACAACGAAUAA